RNAcentral lists this long non-coding RNA (1373 nucleotides) under Hordeum vulgare. RNAcentral's name for it is "long non-coding RNA (HVUL_LNC013208)". Lineage: Eukaryota; Viridiplantae; Streptophyta; Magnoliopsida; Poales; Poaceae. The record is from RNAcentral.
ACCUUCUUCUCCUGUAACAUGAAUAUGACUAUGCCGGAGGUCAACAACAAUGACCAGCAGCGUCCGUGGACCACGAGCUAGGUAAUGACCAUGGACAUGGUGACCCACUCGUCACUGCCCCCAGAGUUUCCUGACAGCGCACAUGCCUGCAUGUAAUCUAGUGUGAGGGUGCCAAGCAAUGAUUUAAGGCAAGCUAAUGUGUCACCAAAUGACCAAUCAGAAACUAUAACUGUUUAUUGAAGAGCAGCAAGCAUAAUAGUGUUUACAAAGAUAUAUAACAGCAAGAGGAAGCAUGAACUUUGAAUAUGAUCUCCUUUACAUUUCCUGCUUACUUAAAAGGUGCAAAUGUAACCCAAUAUGUUUAAUCGGUAACUGAAAGAGGCAUGAUAGGUUAAUUAUCAACAUUGAUUCAUGCAUAGUCGAACAUAAUUUGAGCAGAUAAAACAUGAUGUCACAUUUUGUAUUGGAAAUAGACUUAAAUCUGUAACUUGUAGCAUUCACCAUCAAAACUAUGGGAAUGACUCUAUGAAGAAUAUGCUUAAAUACUUAUGAUUGUCUUGGCCAAAAUAAACAAAUUGCAUAGAUACGUACCAAUGAUUUUCACAAUCAGUACCUGGCUAACUGCACUCUAUGCAAUGUGGGAAAUAUGGCAGUGCUGUAUCACACAUGUAGGGAAGUGUGAAGUAAACACAACAUAUGAUUCUGAAUCAAACUUGCAUCUUGUUGUCCGCUCUAAAAACUACCAAAAACACACCAGAUGAAAUACCUGUUGGCAGCAAUGUUUAGCCGAUUAGACCAUAUCGACUCCAUGAACAUCCAGUUCAAUUGGGGUUUCAGGGGCUGCAUGGAGUCCCCCCGGACCUCCUUGAAGCACAUCCUAAAGGAGAAGUUCGUGGAAGCACAGAUGGUGAUCUAGAAGGUUCAGCUCAGCCAAGUGCUCAAGAAGAAAAAUCUAGAACUGUGAGAACCCCAAAAGUUGAAGCAUUGUAAGCCCAGAUUUUGACCCAUAAUUAAAGUUAAAAGAACUUGGUGCUUAAUUUCUUUUGUAUUAGGUACACUUGUAAAUUGUAACGGAUGUACCACGAAACUGAAAUAGAUCAAGUUGGUCUUUGUGUGCCGGCUGGUGCUCUGCUGGUUCUGUAUAUUACCGUGUCAUAUUGACUCAUCAAUAGAGAUAUAGUUACAAUACAAAGGCCCGUACAAAAAAGAUGCAGAUUAUACGAACCUGAGAUUGAUACACCAUGUAGUAGAUUGGAUAUUGCUAUUUGGCCCCAAACAUGGCCGAGUACUUCAAUUCAGAAAAAUCUCUUGUGCCAGCUCGAGGGCUUCCAAUCGGGAUCAAGAUAGCAGCAGGUGCGCAAGUAAUGGAGUCG